CCAUGGGUGUACAUGUGUUCCUAAUUUUGCUUUGAUGUCUCAGCAGGAGUGAGUUGCAGGCGCCUUAGGAGGUGUCUCUGCUCAUCAUUUAUUCUGUUCGUUGCCUGGGAUUCAUCUGCUCUUCUUUUCCCCUCUGUUCACCUAUGUGAGCCAGCGCUUCCUGGGUGUCUGUGACAUAAGAGCAUCUCAGAAACAGCCCGCCCUUCAGGCACUUAGACUUGCUUAGAGGAAACCAGAUGGAGACCGAUCAUAGGUCCCCUCCUCCUGGCCCUGCAGACUGAGAACCCCCAACCCUGAGCCUCACAGGGCACGCCCAGGCACACCCUCGGCAGACAGAGUGAGUAGCUGCUGCCUAGCACGGCGCCUGACCGCAUGAUUGGGCUCAGUGUUUGAAGACCCAAGGAUGAUGAGUGCUCUUGAGCUGGGGACAAGAAAGCCUGGAAGAGUCACGUCACCUCCCUGUGCCUCUGUCACCUCACUGCGCAGGCUGCGGAGGAAACCCCUGCAACCUGGCUUCUGUUUCAAGCCUGUUGGCUGAGGGGAAGGGUCUGGGGUGGUCAGCGCAGAGGGCCUCCUGCUGAGAUGUCCCACACAACCAGCGACAUCCCAUUCUCUCUGGGAUUCAGGCCCCCCAGCCCUACGGUCCUGGGAUCAUCCAGGAAAGCUUUUGUUUGCUCUACUACUACUAAUCCUGCCGGGGCAACCUAAAGCAAUGAGGCCACUCUCCCAAAUUCCUCCAAGAUGGCAAAUUUCAUGGUUUUUCUUUAGGAUCUCAGCUUAAAUGCCUUUUCAUCAGGAAGCCUUUAAAAAAAAAAAAAACAACAAAAUAAACACCAAUAAGUUAAUUUGGCUGUAUAGGGUCUUAGUUGCAACAUGCAGAAUCUCUGUUGCAGUGCUUGGACUCUCCAUGGGCUUAACUGUUUCAUGGAAUCUUACUUCCCUGACUAGGGAUGGAACCUGUGUCCCCUGCAUUGUGGAUUCUUAACCACUGAACCACCAGGGAAGUCCCCAAGAAGUCUUUUCUGAAGAGACUGAAAGAGAGAGUCGAACAAACAGACCAUUGGCAGGAAGAGAAAUCCAGACAGCGAGGCUAACAAGGACUGUCUGGCUGGGGCUGAGUGAGCCAGGAGAAGGAAGAGCUUAGUGAGCAACCACAGACUGGGCCACACUGGGCCUCUGGACCAUGGGGAGGACAUCAGGUUUUAUCCUAAGUGCUGUUAGGAUUUGUUGGUGGCUUUUGAGUGAGCAAGUGACAUGAUCUGGCUGCCAUGUGGAGAGAGGUGCCCCCUUCGGCACACAUUCCUCACUCCUCAGAGCUGUUUUCUCUGAAUCCUAUUUCAUUGUCUUUGUCUAGCCACUGUAUGUUUUCUGCCUUGGACUCUGGGAGAUUUCUUCUGCUCAUUACUUCCUGCCUAGAAGCAAAGCUUUUGGACAGAAUCCUCCCUCCCACUUGCUUAGAUCAGCAUCAUGUGUCCAUGUGUUUGUUCCUCGCAGUUCAAAUUUGUACUCUGCAGCAGUCGGACUAUGUCUUAUUCCUUUGUGAUACAUAUACAAAUACAGUGUGUGACACAUAGUUGAUUCUUAUUUAACUCAUUGUUCAGGAUGAACAAGUGAGUUUUAGGUAAAGCAAAAGAAAAAGUCAAGAAGGUCAUCCUACUCACAGGAUGGAUUCCAAGGUCUAACAAUACUUUAAGGUGAUCUAAUUUGGAUCAUCUGUGCCUAGCUUCCCCUCCACUGGGAAACUGUUCAAUUGUUCUUGCAAGUCUAUCUGUUGCCUCUAAGAAAUCCCAUGAGACAGGAAGGACAGACCUGUACCUACUUUGUAGAUGAAGACGGAGACCCAGGGAGGUUAAAGGUCAGGGCCACAGCCAGAUGGCUAGUGGAACCGGGCUUAGCUCAGUCCAGCCCAGUACAGAUUUACUGAUGCCUCCCAUGGUUCAGGGCCUGAGUUUUCACAUAGAGAAGUAAGAGGUCCUUGCCCUCAGGGGCUCACAGUCUUACAGCAGAGACUGAUACUUGAAUCCAGCAUUUGCUCUCAGUGGGGAAAUCCCUGACACACUUUUCUGAUCCCAUGAGCUGCCUCUG
Bubalus bubalis (water buffalo) is the source of this 2085-nucleotide long non-coding RNA. RefSeq lists it as uncharacterized. The record is from RefSeq and is a predicted model, not a curated record. NCBI's taxonomy places the organism in Eukaryota, Metazoa, Chordata, Mammalia, Artiodactyla, Bovidae. The transcript is spliced from 3 exons.